GUCCAUAUAGCUCAGUUGUAGAGCAUUUCACUUUAGAUCAAGAGGUCACCGGUUCGAACCCGUUUGGACC
Non-coding RNA from Morus notabilis, 70 nucleotides. The record is from Rfam. NCBI's taxonomy places the organism in Eukaryota, Viridiplantae, Streptophyta, Magnoliopsida, Rosales, Moraceae.